CAAAUUUCAUUCCAAAAGUAACUCACGAGACAAGCAAGUUACAGCACAGGAAGUAGAAAACCCUAACCUCUCUUCCAUCUCUCUCUCUGCCCACAGUCCCACUUUACCAUUAAUCCAUAUCCCAUAUCAAUUUCCCAUUUUCUCCCAAAUCCCAUCAAUUUCAAACCAACAGAGAGCUGAGCAAACCCUUGAGUUCUUUCCAUUAUUUGCCCCUGCGUAUUUCCAUUCGAAGUGCGAAGUGGGUUCACUGGGUAGUGGCUAGUAGGUUCACUGGUCGUGCGAUUGCGAAGUGCGAGUCACGGAGUCGGGAUGUGCGAUUGUGAAAACUGCGAAGGCGAAGCCGUGUGCUGUCGAGUGCCGUCACUGUCACUGCCGUUGUGCAUGGGUCAGGGUGAGUUCACUGAUACUUCAUCUUCAUACUUGACAUUUGACAACUUGAAUUGUUUUUGUUGAAUGUUGAAUUCUAUUUGUUGGAAAUCCUUUUGUUCUCUGUUUUUUUGCGAAUUGCGAAGUGAAAUCAAAAUAUAUUUGUUGAAUUGUUGAAACUUAAAUGUUGAAUUGUUGAUUUGUUGCACUUGUUUGUUGCGAGUUGAGAGUUGCCUGCUUAAUGUAUUUUGGAUUUGGUACGUAGAAUUUAUUUACAAUUGAUAAUGUUAAAAGUCCG
This 664-nucleotide long non-coding RNA is filed under the name Olea europaea subsp. europaea. Lineage: Eukaryota; Viridiplantae; Streptophyta; Magnoliopsida; Lamiales; Oleaceae. The record is from RNAcentral.